Molecule: ribosomal RNA, 515 nt
Filed under: uncultured bacterium
Lineage: Bacteria
Description: partial 16S ribosomal RNA
Rfam family: Bacterial small subunit ribosomal RNA
Source: RNAcentral
GAUGAACGCUGGCGGCGUGCCUAAUACAUGCAAGUCGAGCGAAUGGAUUAAGAGCUUGCUCUUAUGAGGUUAGCGGCGGACGGGUGAGUAACACGUGGGUAACCUGCCCAUAAGACUAGGAUAACUCCGGGAAACCGGGGCUAAUACCGGAUAACAUGUUGAACCGCAUGGUUCGAAAUUGAAAGGCGGCUUCGGCUGUCACUUAUGGAUGGACCCGCGUCGCAUUAGCUAGUUGGUGAGGUAACGGCUCACCAAGGCAACGAUGCGUAGCCGACCUGAGAGGGUGAUCGGCCACACUGGGACUGAGACACGGCCCAGACUCCUACGGGAGGCAGCAGUAGGGAAUCUUCCGCAAUGGACGAAAGUCUGACGGAGCAACGCCGCGUGAGUGAUGAAGGCUUUCGGGUCGUAAAACUCUGUCGUUAGGGAAGAACAAGUGCUAGUUGAAUAAGCUGGCACCUUGACGGUACCUAACCAGAAAGCCACGGCUAACUACGUGCCAGCCGCCGCAGUAA